This 548-nucleotide unclassified non-coding RNA is filed under the name Leishmania donovani. RNAcentral describes it as "gene:unknown". The record is from RNAcentral. Lineage: Eukaryota; Euglenozoa; Kinetoplastea; Trypanosomatida; Trypanosomatidae.
CAUCGACGAGCAUACAUCCACACGUCAUGUCGCGCUGUUCUUGACUGCAGUUGUGACAACUCACUCCUCUUCGCCAUUUUCAACGCAGCCCCUUCCUUUGUGUUCCACCGGGGCUUUUGGAUGCAUGCUAGGUGUAGGGUACUUGCAGACCAGGUGCAACGGGUGAAAGCACCGUAGUGGGUCUGGUGGGCUUCAAGUCCGAUUCUCCCGGCGACCUCGUGCUGCCGUCUAUUGCGCGGGCAGCUGCCGUAAACUCGGCACACAGCAAGAGGGCACUGGCGGGUGCUCGGCGUAGGCUGCCUUGCUCUCACGCGCGGCUUCCGUUUGUCGCUCUUCGUCUCCCUUUUUUUCGCUUUGGUGAGCGAGAGAACCCGCCACCCCUCCCCCCACCUUCCUGCUGCAACUUCCCUGCUCGCGCGCUUGCUCUCUACUCGAUUCCCUCCCUCCCUCCUCUCUUUCUUCUCUCGCGCCUCGCUGUUUGCUUCUUUCCACCGCACGCGGAGGUCACCCUCCGCGAGCCUGCUGUGAACGUGCAUCCACAAACGGAG